Molecule: non-coding RNA, 755 nt
Organism: Paramuricea clavata
Lineage: Eukaryota; Metazoa; Cnidaria; Anthozoa; Malacalcyonacea; Plexauridae
Source: the annotation of a GenBank genome assembly
CUCCUAUAUCUAUGCUAUAAACGCUCUGCCGAAAGUCGUGGUAUUUUAGGAUACCUACACCAACAGCCGUUCCGCACAUUGUAACCAAUAAUUUAUUGGCGUUGCAAUGCUAUUGUAUGCAAUAAAGUAUUGGGUUGUAAUGGGUCUACAAUUAAUCCAAACGUUAAUCCUAAUCCAAACCCUAAUCCUAACCCUAACCUCUAACCCUUAACGCCACCUCUUAACCCCUAAUCCCGCACCCUAACCCCUAACCCCGGCCGGCUACCCCUCCGGGGAAAAUACGCGCCGCGUUGUCGAAUCGCGUCUGGUGUGUCUCGGCUUAAUGGACUGCAUUAUACACUAAAUUUUGAUUUUGGGCUGUCAAUUUCCCGUGCGUAUAUUACAAAAUGACUGAAAAACGGCAAAUUUCGCAGGGCUAUAUUAUCCGCAUUUUACAACAUUUCGCAACGAAACUUUGGAAUAUUACUAAUUUUGUGAUGCUCUUUCAAGCUGUGAUGAAAUUUUUGUCUAGAUCAAAAUUUAGUCUAUAAUGCAAAUGGUCCAUUUAAUAGUCGAAGUGAUUGCCGCUACGCGACUCGCGAAAUGACUUGCCGUCACGCGACUCACGCGAUGUAUGCUUCAAAAUGGCGGGCGUCCAGGGGGUAAAUGCCUUACUAGCAUAAGAAAUGUAAACUUGACGGCCUUUUUAAAAUUUAUCUCGUCUUUUUGUUCAAAUGCAAACACAGUAUUAUUGUUAUAUUGCCUUUGUGCUUUUG